CGUAGGUGGCAAGCGUUAUCCGGAUUUACUGGGCGUAAAGGGUCCGACGGUGGGACAGGUAGUCUGGUGUGACAUCUCCCGGCUUAACUGGGAGGGUGCGCCGGAAACUACCUGUUCUUGAGUCAUGCAGAGGGGGCGGGAAUUCCCGGUGUAGUGGUGGAAUGCGUAGAGAUCGGGAGGAACCCCAACCGGCGCAAGCAGCCCCCUGGGCAAGGACUGACACUCAAGGACGAAAGCGUGGGGAGCGAACAGGAUUAGAUACCCUGGUAGUCCACGCCGUAAACGAUGGAGACUCGGAAUGGGGGGACUAGACCCCUUCCGUUCCUCAGCUAACGCGUAAGUCUCCCGCCUGGGAACUACGACCGCAAGGUUA
This 373-nucleotide ribosomal RNA is filed under the name uncultured organism. RNAcentral's name for it is "bacterial SSU rRNA". It matches the Rfam family "Bacterial small subunit ribosomal RNA", at positions 526 to 896 of the family's 1533-position model. The record is from RNAcentral.